CCUACGGGAGGCAGCAGUGGGGAAUAUUGCACAAUGGGCGCAAGCCUGAUGCAGCAACGCCGCGUGAGGGAUGAAGGCCUUCGGGUUGUAAACCUCUUUUAGCAGGGAAGAAGCGAAAGUGACGGUACCUGCAGAAAAAGCACCGGCUAACUACGUGCCAGCAGCCGCGGUAAUACGUAGGGUGCAAGCGUUGUCCGGAAUUAUUGGGCGUAAAGAGCUCGUAGGCGGUUUGUCGCGUCUGCUGUGAAAACCUGAGGCUCAACCUCAGACCUGCAGUGGGUACGGGCAAGCUAGAGUGCGGUAGGGGAGAUGGGAAUUCCUGGUGUAGCGGUGGAAUGCGCAGAUAUCAGGAGGAACACCGAUGGCGAAGGCACAUCUCUGGGCCGUAACUGACGCUGAGGAGCGAAAGCGUGGGGAGCGAACAGGAUUAGAUACCCUGGUAGUCCACGCCGUAAACGGUGGGUGCUAGUUGUGGGUCACAUUCCACGUGAUCCGUGACGAAGUUAACACAUUAAGCACCCCGCCUGGGGAGUACGGUCGCAAGACUAAAACUCAAAGGAAUUGACGG
Molecule: ribosomal RNA, 568 nt
Filed under: uncultured Actinomycetes bacterium
Lineage: Bacteria; Bacillati; Actinomycetota; Actinomycetes
Description: bacterial SSU rRNA
Rfam family: Bacterial small subunit ribosomal RNA
Source: RNAcentral